RNAcentral lists this long non-coding RNA (8329 nucleotides) under Nicotiana tabacum (common tobacco). Its description in RNAcentral is "long non-coding RNA (NTAB_LNC008157)". Lineage: Eukaryota; Viridiplantae; Streptophyta; Magnoliopsida; Solanales; Solanaceae. The record is from RNAcentral.
GGCCAUGUAAUGAGUGAGCCCAAAUCUUUCAAUACUCCUUCUUCACUUAAACUAGCCCAUCUCCUUACCCAGCCCAAACCUGGUCGACCCGACCCGACCCAAUACACAAACCCUUAUUCUUCUUAAUUAACCUAAUAAAAAAAGACCUAAAAGGCCUAAGAGAAGGGAGUGCCGCAGAGGACAAAAAGUUUUGGACCCCCCUGAUCGACGGUCUUCUUCUUCAUAGAAGAAACAACCAAAAUUCAAUGGCUUCUUCUGAAGCGAAAACCCCUAAACGCUGACACCCCAAAUGACCCCUGACUUCACCUUCUUCAACCAUCAACACAUCCACCGUCAACACCCCUCCUAGCCGCACCAGCCCUCAACGUCGACGACUUCUUCAACGCCAACCAGCGACUCCUCUCCAUGCCGCUGCUCUCUUCCCUCUUUUUAGAAAAGAACGAAAAACACACACACACAGAGUCAUAAACAGAGGUACACGGACAGAAAAUCGGAGGUAUUUUUGUACAUAAAUUAGGAAGAAAUCGGGGAAAGUUCCGAAGAGUUCAUAAAAAUCCCUGCAAAUUCAGUCCUUUUAAUGUCAUUUUUGCUUCUCAAAUCUGAAAAGAACAUACACUCUAGCUUCUGAUUUUGAUCUUCUCUUAUGGAAUCUGAUGGAGUCGAGGGGAGUUCGAUUAGGUUUUGUUCGCGGUUCCGAAUUCAAUGGUUGAUUGUUCCAUUCAGUAGAUAUGGAGCUUGUUGCUUGAUCUCCUUGCUAGUAUCACAUCCGGACAGAAGCUUAAUUGAAAACAACCCUCCGAUUUUGUGGACUUUCUUCUCUGGUCAAUGUUAUUGUUUAUCGUGAGAAUGAGAUAAAAGCUAGUUACAAUGGAAAUGAGUUCUUGGAAAGAGCAGCAGCAGGUGGUCUGGUGGAGCUAUUGCAAUGAAUGUUGAUGCUACUGCUGUGUUGCACAAGAAAACAGGAUUUGAACUUUAUUCGAAGUUGUUGUUAGUGGUGGUGUCGUUCGAGCAUUGUGGUCGCGGUUCCGUCCGAAUUUGAUUGCCAUUUCGAGUUUAGUCGUAGCUUUGCUUCAUUUCUUAUUCGGGUAAUCGUUAGAGGUUUGAAUACAUUGGAAAGCAGUCUCGGGUUCAACUCUUUCAUCCUCUAUUCGUUUGAUGCAAGCUUGGUAUUAAUUAUUUAUUUAAUGAUAUGAUCCCGUUGAUUCUGUAAUUGAUCUCCGUGGUUUUGAAUUUGCUCGCUCGGUUAUCUGCUCGUGUUUACUUGAAUUGGUUAUACCUAAGCAUGAUUUUGUCAUAGUAUAGAAAUUGGGUUGUUAUUUAUCAACUGAACUACGUCAAAUUAGAUAGAAAAGACUCGGGUGUGAAUUUCAUGUGACCCUGCCAUAAUUAUGAAUAAUAAUAAUAAUAAUAAACAUGUUAUAAAUCCGGGUGUGCAUUUCAUGUGACCCGAUUUUAAUUUCCAAUAAGGUUAAAUAGAACGUAUCGUGAACCGCAGGUGCAUUUUAUGUAGCGUGGCUUACGAUGUGUUUUAAAUAACCUUGAAUUUUCCUGAAAUAGUAAAAGCGGUUUUAAAAUUACAAAUGCCCAUAGGUUUAAAAGUGUUUUAUUAAUCAGAUAAAUAGGCCAAUAAUAAUAGUUGAGCGACCGUGCUAAAAUCACAGAACCCGGGAAUGCCUAACACCUUCUCCCGGGUUAAUAGAAUUCUUUAUCCGGAUUUCUGUGUUAGCAGGCUAUAAACAGGGUCAAUCCUCCCUCGAUUCGAGCUUUAAACUGGUGACUUGGGACACCAUAAAUUAUCCCAAGUGGCAACUCUGAAUAAAUAAAUAAAUUCCGUUUCGAUUCACUUAAAUUGGAAAAAACUCUCUUAUACCCCUCCGGGAUAAUAAAAAGGAGGUGUGACAAUUAUGUGAGUUAGAUACAGUACUAUUUUAACUUCAAUAGAGUUAUAAAAUGACUCGGAUAGGGCAUACAAACAAGAUAAGCAUUUUUUUAGUAUAUAAUAAUUUUAAAUGGGCAUUAUAUAACAGAAAAGGCAAGAAUUUUGUAUUAUAGGAUAAUCAUUUUUAACUAAUGUGAAAUUUAAUAUUUUUUUGUUGACAACAUUUGGGUUAUGGGUCAAAUUACAUUAAGAAAAAAAUGGAUCUAAAGUGGGUAUGAUUCAUUUAAGUUUAUGUGACAUUUAUUUUUGGAUUUUUCUCAUUAAAUUUUAUGUCAUGUCAUAUUUAUGGUAGGGGUUUGAGCCAAAAUGACUUUUAAGUGAUAAUAUGAAAGUUUAGUUACUUUUAAGUGACAAAAAAUAGUUAAGUGACUUUAGUGAAAUUGAAACAUAGUUGAGUGACCAUGAGUGAAAUUAACCCUAUUAUCUUGAUACGGGCGCAUAACCAGGAAGUGUGAUAGUAAUCAUAGGCCUCUUUCACAAGUAUAAACUUGUAGUCUUUCCCGGCCAGAGUCAGUUUUGUUUGUCGGAUUAGGAAUCAUAAUCACAAGAUUAAAUAUGACAUUAUUUUAUUUUGUGUGUGGUCAAUGGCGGAGCCACAUAUACUGAAGGGGUAUCAAUUGAUAUUUUUUGCCAGGAAAUUAUAAUGUAUAAUUAGAUAAAAAAAAUUAUACAUAUAGUUAUGUUGUUAUAUAUUGACUCUCUUUGAUUUUUUCGUAAGUUUACUUCUUAAUAGUUAGGCCACUUUAAUAAAAUAUAAAAAAAAAUUGGCUUCGCUAUUGCAUAGUUGAACUUCUUGUUUCGAGAUUAGCAAUCCUCAAAGGAGUUAUUGUAAGCAUAAACUUUAAUUGCAUACCAGGAUCUUGAACAUGAUAAUCUUACAGAAAAUCGUUACAGAAAACAUACAUGAAGCGGAAUCUAUUAUCUUGAAGCGGAAGCGUUAAUUGAAACUGAUUUCUCGCCCCUUGCCCUAGCUUUCAUUACCGCCGACUUUAGUGAUGGAAGAGAGAAUAAAAUGCGGUAACCCUAAUGGAUGAGGAGAGGACCAAUUUAUAGAGGUUCUUAUUUAAUCUGGUACGUCCAUCAAGUAACCGAUCGGACGGAUGAGCUUUGCUCAUCAAUUAAAUAUUAAUUAUGGGCUUGAUCUUAUUGGGCCACCAAUAAAUUAACAUAAGAAAAUCUUACAUUCUCCCAUUUGGACCAAUAAUCACAUAAUAUUAAUAUUUAAUAUAUGAACAUUAGUUGCGCAUCAACAAAUCUCUUCUAUAAUGUCCAUCAUAAAUAUCAUAAUACGAUAACCUACUAAAUGUGAGUUAUGGAUGUUAUAUAUAUAAUUUGUCUACAUACUCCCUUCCAUAUACUACAACAUUAGCAACUCAUUGUAUCAGGUCCAUAAGCUAUAAAAUAUUAUGGUCCACAAUAAUAUCUUAUUGAGACUUAUCCUGUAACAUCUCAAAACAAUAAUGUGUACACCAUUAUGAGAAACAGGAAAUCACUAAUGUAUAUCAGAAACAUAUAAAUGAGCUCAGAGUGUCAAAACAUCAUAAAUACAUCAAUCAUAAAUACAGUCAAGACUCAUUCUAUGUACAUGUUCUUUAAAUAUCUUUGGCUGUAAACCUUUUGUUAACGGAUCUGCAAUCAUGAGAUCAGUUCUAAUAUGCUCAAGUGAUAUUCUUUGUUUCUGAACUUCCUCCUUGACGGUAAAGUACUUUAAUUCCAUAUAUUUGGCACAUUUGGAGUACUUAUCGUUCUUGGAGAAGAAUACUGCUGCAAAAUUAUCACAGUAAAUUUUCAGCGGCUUGGUAAUGGUGUCGACAACCCCAAGUCCUGAAAUAAACUUUCGCAGCCAUAAUGCAUGAAUUGUGGCUUCAAAACAUGCCACAAAUUCUGCCUCCUUCGUGGAUGUAGCAAUGACAGACUAUUUGUCACUCUUUCAUGAUAUUGCUCCUUCAGCUAAUUGGAACAAAUAACCAAACGUGGAUUUUCUAGUAUCAAUACAUCCUGCGAAAUCUGAAUUUGAGUAUCCAACAAAUUCCAAAUGCUUGGAUCUUCUAUACAUGAGCAUGUAAUCCUUCGUUCCUUUCAGGUACCUCAAAACUUUCUUUGCAGCUUUCCAAUGAUCAAUUCCUGGGUUACUCUGAUAUCUUUCCGACAUUCCGAUCGCAAAACUAAUAUCCGAUUUUGUGCAAGUCUAAGCAUACAUCAGACUACCAACAAUUGAAGAGUAACGAAUUGAUUCCAUUUCUUUUCGCUCUACAUCAUUCUUAGGACAUUGCAUGAGACUAAAUUUGUCCCCUUUUUGAAUUGGAACAAUUCCUGCUGAACAUUGUUCAUGUUAAAUCUGUUUAGAAUUCUUUUGAUAUAGCCUUUCUGAGGUAAUCCCAAUAAUCCUUGUGAUCUAUCACGAAAUAUUUCUAUUCCUAUAACAUAGGAUGCCUCACCCAUAUCUUUCAUUUCAAAAUUCUUACAGAGAAAUUUUUUAGUCUCACACAAUAUGCCUAAAUCAUUAGCAGCAAGUAGAAUAUCAUCAACAUAUAGGACUAAAAAUAUAAACUUGCUCCCACUGAUCUUUUGGUAUAUACACCGAUCAACGGUAUUUUCCACAAAUCCAAAAGAUGUUAUGGUAUCAUUAAACUUUAUAUACUAUUGUCGUGAAGCUUGUUUAAGUCCAUAUAUUGACUUCUUCAGUUUACACACCAUUUGACCUUUUUCUUUAGUUUUGAAACCCUCUGGUUGGUACAUAUACACUUCCUCCUCGAGAUCUCCAUUAAGAAAGGCAGUUUUCACAUCCAUUUGUUAUAACUCUAAAUCAUAAUGAGCCACCAAAGCCAUAAUAAUUCUUAACGAGUCUUUCUUUGAGACCAGUGAAAAAGUCUCUUUAUAAUCAAUGUCUCCUUUCUGAGUAUAACCCUUGGCAACAAGUCUGGCUUUGUAUCUCUCAAUAUUGCUAUUUGAAUCGCGUUUAGUCUUAAAGACCCAUCUACACCCGAUUCUUUUAGAACUUUCUGGCAAUUCAACAAGAUCCCAAACUUCAUUGUAUUCCAUGGAUUUUAACUCUUCCUUCAUGGCAUCAAUCCAUUUGUCAGACUCAUUACUUUCUAUGGCUUGUGAAAUGAAACCGGGUCCUUAUUAAGACCAAUGUCAAAAUCUGACUCUUGCAAAUAAAUCACGUAAUCAUCCGAAAUAGCCGAUUUUCUAACUCUUUGAGAUUUUCUUAAUGGCAUUUCUUGUGGUUCAUUUGUGUCAGAUAUUUGUGAGUUAGUUUCUUCAUUAAGUGUUUCAUCCAAAUGUUGCUCGGUGUUGUGAAAGUGUUCUUCAACAACUGGAACAAUAUUUGGUAUUUGUGUGGAAGUAGGCACAUUUCUGGGUAAUAAAAUAUUGACCCUCACUUCUUUAAUUUUCACACUUUGCUUUUUAACACUCCCACUAACCUCACCAUUCUCAACGAAUCUUGUAUUACCGGUUUCAACAAUUCUUGAACUAUGGUUUGGACAGUAAAACACAUACCCUUUAGAUUUCUCUGGGUAACCAAUAAGGUAACCACUUACUGUUCGAGAAUUUAAUUUCUUUUCUUGUGGAUUAUAGGCUCUAGCUUCCGCUGGGCAACCCCAAACAUGCAAGGGCCUUAAACUAGGUUUCUUCCUGUCCACAGUUCAAAAGGGGUCUUUAGAACUGCCUUACUAGGAACCCUAUUUAAUAAAUAUACAGCGGUUUUAAGAGCAUACAUCCACAAUGAUUUGGGUAAUGAGGAAUUACUUAUCAUGCUCUGAACCAUAUCCAUAAGUGUUCGAUUACGCCUUUCUGCAACACCAUUUUGUUGAGGUGUUCCUGGCAUAGUAUAUUGUGCACAUAUGCCACGUUCCUCGAAGAACUUUGCAAAUGGACCUGGACAUUGUCCUGACUCAUUAUAUUUUCCAUAAUAUUCACCACCUCUAUCUGACCUAAUGAUUUUCACCUUUUUAUCUAAUUGCCUCUCAACCUCAUUAACAAACACCUUGAGAGCAUCUGCUGGUUGAGAUUUUUCUUUCAGCAAAUAGAUAUAUCCAUAACGUGAAAAAUCAUCGAUAAAAGUGAUAAAAUAUUUCUCUCCACCAAAAGAUGGAACAUCCAAGGGUCCACAAAUGUCGGUGUGUAUAAUUUCAAGAAGUUGGGUGCUUCUUGUGACACCUUUCUUACUAUGCUUGGUUUGCUUUCCCUUAAUGCAAUCCAAACAUAUAGUAAGAUCAGUAAAAUUUAGAUUCGGAAGAAUCUCAUUCUUUACUAAUCUCUCUAACCUUUCUUUGGAUAUAUGACCUAAACGUCUAUGCCACAAGUAAGCAGAACUUUCAUCUAGUGAACUACGUUUAAUUCCAACAUUAUGUUGAACAUUAAGAAGGGAUUCAGAAAAACCAAUAUCGAGUUUCAAUUUAUAUAAACCAUCACUAAGAAAACCAGAACCAUAAAAAAUAGCAUUUUUAUAUAAAUUGAAACAUCCAUUUCCAAACUUUAAAUCAAAUCCAAAAACAUCAAGUCUUGAAGGAGAAAUCAAAUUCCUAGAAACUGAAGAUACAUAAAGAGUCUGUAAUAGAUCAAGGUGACGUCCAGUCUCCAUGAUCAAACGAUAAGUCCCUAUGCCUUCAAUUGGAGCUUUCAUACGAUUUCCCAUGAACAAGAAAUCCUUAUUUGGAUUUGUAGUUUGGAUCAUAAGGAAUCCCUGCAACGUAGUAGAUACAUGAGCAGUUGCACCAGAAUCAAGCCACCAAGUAUUAUUAGGAAUUUCUACUAAAUUUGAUUCGAAACAUACAAAAGCACUAAUUGUACCUUUCUUUUCGAACCAAGUUUUACGUUUCAGGCAAUCUUUCUGAUAGUGUCGUUCCUUAUUACAGAAACGACACGUAUCUGCCUUNNNNNNNNNNNNNNNNNNNNNNNNNACCCAUCAAACUUCAUGGUCGUGAGUUCAGCCAUUAGUGUACUAGCGAGAGACUUAUCAGCAAAACGAAAACGUUCUUCCACAAACUUCAGGUAUUCCCUGGCACUUUCUGUUUGUGGAAUAGUACUCUUAAUGUUGUUGGCAAUAUUCAUUCGCAUAAACAUAACGCUUAGCAUGUUAGAGCGUUCCCAUGCUUUAUGGAAAGACUUCUUAUCCGCACUGCUCAAAUCAGUAAUGGCAGCGGGCUUAUCAUUCAGCAGAGCCAAGUCAAGAUCCAUCACACCUAAGUGGAACUGGACUUGUUCACGCCAUUUAGAGAAGUUCAAUCCGUUGAAUACAGUAACAGACGAAGCAAGCUAAUGAAAAGGAAUAGCUGCAAAAUAGAUAAUACAUGAUCACAAAUCAAUAUGGAUUCAACAAAACAGUUAAAGCAUAUCGCAAUUCACCUUUGGAUAAAUACUAUGACACACUAUCAUAAUUUAAAUGCUAUUUAGUCUUUAAUAGGUAAUUAAAUAUUUUUAACCAAAUAUAUAUGUCAUCUUUAGACAGACAAUAUAUAUUUGACUAAGAAUAUUAAUUUACCUCGUCAUAUUCACUAUUCAUAGAAUAAUUGAUUCACCUUUGGGUAAAUCCUUAAGUUCUAGCAAUAGUAAAAAUUAAUUUAUCCACUAAUUUUUUAAAUAUAGACAUUUCAUUAAAUUAUAAUUUUAUUUAUGCAUAUUUUCAUAAACAAACUAGUUUGGCCACUUUGGUGACUAACAAACUAUAUAACAUAAGUGCACACACAAAAUAGAGAUCAUAAGAUUUUAUGCAUGUGAAUACUUUAAACAAUCUAGUUUGGUCACUUUGGUGACUAACAAACUAUAUACACAUUAAUCACAUACAUAAAAUAAAAAUAAUAAAUGAGUUUAUCAAUUUAAUAACCAAAUACAUCAUAUGGCCCGAAACAAGAAAUACUUUAUUGCCCAGAAUAACUUAACAAUACUAAAACAUAUAGGCAAUUUGAUCGGACAAAAUUUUAACAAACAUAAGUGAUCCAACUUAACAUAAUUAUCCAAUGAAAUUCAUUAAUAUAUUGAAAGCCUUUGUGUACCGUGACGAGAUUCUAGGGUAAUCUGAUCCCACAGGUUUGUAUUCCCAGUAUAAAUAUUAAUUACUUACCUUAUUCAUUGGUCAAUUAUCCUUAAUUGUGUAGUACUACUUUAUGGGUGCCUUAUUAAUUUUGAUGUCAGAGGAAACUUAAGGAAAAUAUAAUCACAUAGCCGCCAGAAACUUAAGACAAGGAAUAACUUUAGUGUCUAUUGCUAAUUAAACUGUAAUCCACACUCUUCAUCAUCUUUUUCUAAUUUAAACAUCAAAUAUCUAUUCAAACCAAGCAAAGGUGCUUACAAGACACGAAGAGUGAAAUACAGAGAUGAAACCGAUUAAUUUGAUGAUCCAUAUAAGACGAUUUGUCCAUGAACAGAAACCUCACAUAUAUCAUU